RNAcentral lists this ribosomal RNA (497 nucleotides) under uncultured bacterium. RNAcentral's name for it is "partial 16S ribosomal RNA". It matches the Rfam family "Bacterial small subunit ribosomal RNA", at positions 28 to 507 of the family's 1533-position model. The record is from RNAcentral.
GAUGAACGCUGGCGGCGUGCCUAAUACAUGCAAGUCGAGCGAACAGAUGAGGAUCUUGCUCCUCUGACGUUAGCGGCGGACGGGUGUGUAACACGUGGAUAACCUACCUAUAAUUCUGGUAUAACUUCGGGAAACCGGAGCUAAUACCGGAUAAUAUCUUGAUCCGCAUGGUUCAAUAGUGAAAUUCGGUUUUGCUGUCUCUUAUCGCUGGUUCCGGGCCGCAUUAGCUAGUUGGUAAGGUAACGGCUUACCAAGGCAACGAUGCGUAGCCGACCUGAGAGGGGGAUCGGCCACACUGGAACUGAGACACGGUCCAGACGACUAAGGGAGGGAGCAGUAGGGAAUCGGACGCAAUGGGCGAAAGCAUGACGGAGCAAGGCCGCGUGAGAGAUGAAGGUGUUCGGAGCGUAAAACUCUGUUAUUAGGGAAGAACAAAUGUGUAAGGAACUAAGCACGUAGUGACGGUAACGAAUAAGAAAGCAACGGCUAACUACGUG